AACGAACGCUGGCGGCAUGCCUAACACAUGCAAGUCGAACGAGACCUUCGGGUCUAGUGGCGCACGGGUGCGUAACGCGUGGGAACCUGCCCUUAGGUUCGGAAUAACUCCCCGAAAGGGGUGCUAAUACCGGAUAAGGUCUUCUGACCAAAGAUUUAUCGCCUUGGGAUGGGCCCGCGUUGGAUUAGAUAGUUGGUAGGGUAAAAGCCUACCAAGGCGACGAUCCAUAGCUGGUCUGUGAGGAGGAUCAGCCACCCUGGGACUGAGACACGGCCCAGACUCCUACGGGAGGCAGCAGUGGGGGAUAUUGGACCAUGGGCGGAAGCCUGAUCCAGCAAUGCCCGGUGAGUGAUGAAAGCCUUAGGGUUGUAAAGCUCUUUUACCCGGGAUGAUAAUGACAGUACCGGGAGAAUAAGCUCCGGCUAACUCCGUG
RNAcentral lists this ribosomal RNA (433 nucleotides) under uncultured bacterium. RNAcentral describes it as "partial 16S ribosomal RNA". It matches the Rfam family "Bacterial small subunit ribosomal RNA", at positions 29 to 507 of the family's 1533-position model. The record is from RNAcentral.